GUAUUUACCUUGAUCCAGAUGUGAAUGUUUAAACUGGAUAAAUGACAACUCCCUAUGAUUUCGAGAAGAUUUGAGAAAUAUAAUUUCUUUUGAUAGCUAAUUAAUUGUUGUACUCCCAAAAAGGAACUUGUAUAGGCUACUUUAGAUUGUUAGAUCAAUCUCUUUUGUUCGUUAGAGGCAAGCUGGUUCAUGUCCCCCUUUAAUCUUUUGUAAGUAUUUCUACUUAAUUAUGUUUUACAUGGUAAGGGUCUAGCCAAACCCCCCACAAUCCUAGACUCACA
RNAcentral lists this unclassified non-coding RNA (281 nucleotides) under Hevea brasiliensis (rubber tree). Lineage: Eukaryota; Viridiplantae; Streptophyta; Magnoliopsida; Malpighiales; Euphorbiaceae. The record is from RNAcentral.